GAUUUUCUUUUAUAUACAAGUUUAAAAAGCAAAUAAUUGAUGUUUAAGGUUUAGGGUAUUGUUAGGGUUACUUGUUAUCCACUAAUUUGAAACUGUAAAACAUGAUGGGUUACAUAUAAGUGGUAAAUUUUAUUUUAUUUUUCCUUAACAACAUGCCACUAUUUUUGCAACUAUUUGUCUUCGGAUAGUUACACUUUGGCUGCAUAAUUUGGCUCCAAGGUUUUUCCACUGAAAAUUGUCCAAAUGUUUUUACUAUACCGCUCAUUUUCUAGGGAAUAGAUUUUCGAAACCCAAAUCCUCUUUCUUCCUUAGACCUUUCUUUUCAUCAAUUUUUUAAUUUUCUUCACACUCCAAUCUCAGAAUUCUCUCUUCACCGAAUUUUGAUCGUCUUCACCCUCCA
Molecule: long non-coding RNA, 400 nt
Filed under: Brassica napus (rape)
Lineage: Eukaryota; Viridiplantae; Streptophyta; Magnoliopsida; Brassicales; Brassicaceae
Description: long non-coding RNA (BNAP_LNC008964)
Source: RNAcentral